UACGUAGGGAGCAAGCGUUGUCCGGAAUCAUUGGGCGUAAAGGGCUCGUAGGUGGCCAACUAAGUCAGACGUGAAAUCCCUCGGCUUAACCGGGGAACUGCGUCUGAUACUGGAUGGCUUGAGUGUGGGAGAGGGAUGCGGAAUUCCAGGUGUAGCGGUGAAAUGCGUAGAUAUCUGGAGGAACACCGGUGGCGAAGGCGGCAUCCUGGACCACGACUGACGCUGAGUGAGCGAAAGCCAGGGGAGCAAACGGG
RNAcentral lists this ribosomal RNA (254 nucleotides) under uncultured bacterium. RNAcentral's name for it is "partial 16S ribosomal RNA". It matches the Rfam family "Bacterial small subunit ribosomal RNA", at positions 524 to 776 of the family's 1533-position model. The record is from RNAcentral.